Molecule: ribosomal RNA, 274 nt
Filed under: uncultured bacterium
Lineage: Bacteria
Description: partial 16S ribosomal RNA
Rfam family: Bacterial small subunit ribosomal RNA
Source: RNAcentral
AUACGGAGGGUGCAAGCGUUAUUCGGAAUCACUGGGCGUAAAGGACGCGUGGGCGGGUUGGCAAGUCAGAUGUGAAAUCCUACAGCUUAACUGUAGAACUGCAUUUGAAACUGCUAACCUAGAGUAUGGGAGGGGGAGAUGGAAUUAGUGGUGUAGGGGUAAAAUCCGUAGAUAUCACUAGGAAUACCGAAAGCGAAGGCGAUCUCCUGGAACAUAACUGACGCUAAGGCGUGAAAGCGUGGGGAGCAAACAGGAUUAGAAACCCUAGUAGUCC